RNAcentral lists this non-coding RNA (230 nucleotides) under Acetoanaerobium sticklandii. RNAcentral describes it as "Clostridium sticklandii T-box sequence". It matches the Rfam family "T-box leader". Rfam says of the family: Uncharged tRNA acts as the effector for transcription antitermination of genes in the T-box leader family. T-boxes are found upstream of many aminoacyl-tRNA synthetase genes and some amino acid biosynthetic genes usually in Gram-positive bacteria. Lineage: Bacteria; Bacillati; Bacillota; Clostridia; Peptostreptococcales; Filifactoraceae. The record is from RNAcentral.
UAUUAUGCGUAGAUGGAGAACGGAAUUUAUAUGCUUUGCUACAGAGAGUCGAUGGCUGGUGAAAAUCGAUGCAAUAAAUAAAUUCAAAUCCCUCCUGAGCAGUAUUCUUGAAUCAAAGUGUAAAGAAUACCGGCUAGCCUCGUUACUGGCUUAGGUUUGAUAGAACUGAAAUGAGGUGGUGUAAUUAAUACACAAGCAAGGUGGUACCGCGAGAUAAUCUCGUCCUUGAA